CGUUAUGAGGAUGAUGAAGAAUGUACUUAUCAAUGCCUCUCAUAUCAAACAUUUCUUGUCGAAACAGUUCACCUCCGACAAACCAUAUACUACUCAAGAAAUUGACGAAGUUAGAGAAGAAUGGGCAAUGUAAUUUUUACAAUUGGUUAGAGCAAAAUGAAUGAUGUUAUAGCUAGCUAAUUACAAUACAUGUUUAGAAAUUUUAAAUUUAUUUCGUAAAAUUUUUUUGCCAUUU
Humulus lupulus (European hop) is the source of this 235-nucleotide long non-coding RNA. RefSeq lists it as uncharacterized. The transcript has 2 exons. The record is from RefSeq and is a predicted model, not a curated record. NCBI's taxonomy places the organism in Eukaryota, Viridiplantae, Streptophyta, Magnoliopsida, Rosales, Cannabaceae.